GAUGAACGCUGGCGGCGUGCCUAAUACAUGCAAGUCGAGCGAACAGAUAAGGAGCUUGCUCCUUUGACGUUAGCGGCGGACGGGUGAGUAACACGUGGGUAACCUACCUAUAAGACUGGGAUAACUUCGGGAAACCGGAGCUAAUACCGGAUAACAUUUGGAACCGCAUGGUUCUAAAGUGAAAGAUGGUUUUGCUAUCACUUAUAGAUGGACCCGCGCCGUAUUAGCUAGUUGGUAAGGUAACGGCUUACCAAGGCGACGAUACGUAGCCGACCUGAGAGGGUGAUCGGCCACACUGGAACUGAGACACGGUCCAGACUCCUACGGGAGGCAGCAGUAGGGAAUCUUCCGCAAUGGGCGAAAGCCUGACGGAACAACGCCGCGUGAGUGAUGAAGGGUUUCGGCUCGUAAAACUCUGUUAUUAGGGAAGAACAAACGUGUAAGUAACUGUGCACGUCUUGACGGUACCUAAUCAGAAAGCCACGGCUAACUACGUG
This 497-nucleotide ribosomal RNA is filed under the name uncultured bacterium. Its description in RNAcentral is "partial 16S ribosomal RNA". It matches the Rfam family "Bacterial small subunit ribosomal RNA", at positions 28 to 507 of the family's 1533-position model. The record is from RNAcentral.